GACGAACGCUGGCGGCGCGCUUAACACAUGCAAGUCGAGCGAGAACCCACCUUCGGGUGGGGGAAAGCGGCGAACGGGUGAGUAACACGUGGGCAACCCACCCUUGGUACCGGGAUAGCCCGGGGAAACUCGGAUUAAUACCGGAUGGCCCAGCAGCUCUUCGGGGCGGCUGGAAAAGGUAGCUUCGGCCUCCGACCAAGGACGGGCCCGCGGCGGAUUAGCUUGUUGGUGAGGUAACGGCUCACCAAGGCGACGAUCCGUAGCUGGUCU
This 270-nucleotide ribosomal RNA is filed under the name uncultured bacterium. RNAcentral's name for it is "partial 16S ribosomal RNA". It matches the Rfam family "Bacterial small subunit ribosomal RNA", at positions 28 to 293 of the family's 1533-position model. The record is from RNAcentral.